UGUUGAAAAAGCGGUUUAGGUCGGACUCAUAACCCGAAGGUCACUGGUUCGAGUCCAGUUCCCGCUACAA
RNAcentral lists this transfer RNA (70 nucleotides) under Bizionia argentinensis JUB59. RNAcentral describes it as "tRNA-Ser". The stretch from base 10 to 67 matches the Rfam family "tRNA". Rfam says of the family: Transfer RNA (tRNA) molecules are approximately 80 nucleotides in length. Their secondary structure includes four short double-helical elements and three loops (D, anti-codon, and T loops). Further hydrogen bonds mediate the characteristic L-shaped molecular structure. tRNAs have two regions of fundamental functional importance: the anti-codon, which is responsible for specific mRNA codon recognition, and the 3' end, to which the tRNAs corresponding amino acid is attached (by aminoacyl-tRNA synthetases). tRNAs cope with the degeneracy of the genetic code in two manners: having more than one tRNA (with a specific anti-codon) for a particular amino acid; and 'wobble' base-pairing, i.e. permitting non-standard base-pairing at the 3rd anti-codon position. Lineage: Bacteria; Pseudomonadati; Bacteroidota; Flavobacteriia; Flavobacteriales; Flavobacteriaceae. The record is from RNAcentral.